This 825-nucleotide ribosomal RNA is filed under the name uncultured bacterium. Its description in RNAcentral is "bacterial SSU rRNA". It matches the Rfam family "Bacterial small subunit ribosomal RNA", at positions 8 to 855 of the family's 1533-position model. The record is from RNAcentral.
AGAGUUUGAUCCUGGCUCAGGAUGAACGCUGGCGGCGCGCCUAACACAUGCAAGUCGAACGGCACCCACCCUCGGGUGGAGGCGAGUGGCGAACGGCUGAGUAACACGUGACCAACCUGCCCCACGCACCGGGAUAGCCAGGGGAAACCCCGGGUAAUACCGGACGUCCCCGGGACGGCGCAUGCCGUCCCGGGGGAAGCCCAGGCGGCGUGGGAUGGGGUCGCGGCCCAUCAGGUAGACGGCGGGGUAACGGCCCACCGUGCCUACAACGGGUAGCCGGGUUGAGAGACCGACCGGCCAGAUUGGGACUGAGACACGGCCCAGACUCCUACGGGAGGCAGCAGUGGGGAAUCUUGCGCAAUGGGGGCAACCCUGACGCAGCGACGCCGCGUGCGGGACGAAGGCCUUCGGGUCGUAAACCGCUUUCAGCAGGGACGAGAAGAGACGGUACCUGCAGAAGAAGCCCCGGCUAACUACGUGCCAGCAGCCGCGGUAAUACGUAGGGGGCGAGCGUUAUCCGGAUUCAUUGGGCGUAAAGCGCGCGUAGGCGGCCGCGUAGGCGGGGGGUCAAAUCCCGGGGCUCAACCCCGGUCCGCCCCCCGAACCCCGCGGCUCGGGUCCGGUAGGGGAGGGUGGAACACCCGGUGUAGCGGUAGAAUGCGCAGAUAUCGGGUGGAACACCGGUGGCGAAGGCGGCCCUCUGGGCCGAGACCGACGCUGAGGCGCGAAAGCUGGGGGAGCGAACAGGAUUAGAUACCCUGGUAGUCCCAGCCGUAAACGAUGGACGCUAGGUGUGGGGGGACGAUCCCUCCGUGCCGCAGCCAA